GCACCCCCGUUCCCCUCUUACUCUUGUCUACCCCGCCGCCGCCGCCACCCUUGGCGCAACCCCUCCUGCCUCCGCCGCGAUGCGCACCCCACGGCCGAAAAUGUCAAUAUCCUCUCUCGCGCUGCGCCCGCGAUGCACCCCCUCCUCGCAAACAUCCACCCACCCCUGUCGCGCCGCGACGUGCCGCGCCGGUGCGCCCCACUAUACGCGCUCUCUCGUAUGCCGCUCCCGUCACCCUCAUUCCUAACCCCUUUUCACAACUCGAUCUCGAUCCGCUCUCUCUUUCUCUUCUCCGUUCUCCUUUGCUGUAUUACCUCGCGGCGAUUCUCUCUCUCUCUCCCUCCCUCUCUCUCUCUCUCUCUCUCUCUCUCUCUCUCUCUCUCUCUCUCUCUCUCUCUCUCUCUCUCUCUCUCUCUCUCUUCCUCCCUCUCUCUCGUGUCGCCAAGAUCAUCCCUUACCGACUCAGGAGUGAAACUACGACCGCAGGAACCCUUAAGCUAUUGCUACAUGGACAGAAACUUGAUAACAGAAAAUAAGCCGGUGAGAAACGGAUCAUAACGAAAAGUGACUUUUCCUAGAGAGUCGCUCUUUUCCCAUCUUUACCAUGAAAACAUUUCGUGUAUCUGCCCACUUCGACGUGAUGGACGUACACGUGGAUCCUCAUCGAUCGAUCCUGCGCUCUCCGCUUAGUUACGUAGAGGGAGUUAAUCGGCAUUCCUGUCCUCGUCCUCGUCGGCAUUACUGCCUGUCAAGCUGACGCUUGACAAGUAAUCGUAGCGAUCGGCGAUCGAUACGAAGCACGCGCGCACCCGAUCAUCCGAAGGGAAUCGCAUCCGAAGAAAUUGUCGUAUCCUACGUUGCAGGAUUUUAUUUUUUACUGUCUAAUACAAUCUAAUGCGAUCUAAUGCGUUUGCGAUUUGUGCAAUCUAGUGCACGUACUUUUUUCCAACGAAUGAAAAUAUCUAAAUAGGGAUAUUUUGUGUAGAAAGAAUGUUCUAAUAAAUAUUGUUAUAAAUA
Monomorium pharaonis (pharaoh ant) is the source of this 1017-nucleotide long non-coding RNA. RefSeq lists it as uncharacterized. The record is from RefSeq and is a predicted model, not a curated record. NCBI's taxonomy places the organism in Eukaryota, Metazoa, Arthropoda, Insecta, Hymenoptera, Formicidae. The transcript is spliced from 2 exons.